AUUUCAUGCAGAGUGGCUGAGGGACGAGCCCUGAGACGCCACGGCAACCGGAUCAGGAUCAUCUAUCCUGACCGCCAGGUGCCAACUCUCUCCUGGAAACGGGGAACAUGAGAU
RNAcentral lists this non-coding RNA (114 nucleotides) under Acidobacteriota bacterium. RNAcentral's name for it is "Acidobacteria bacterium SAM-I sequence". It matches the Rfam family "SAM riboswitch aptamer (S box leader)". From Rfam's summary of the family: The SAM riboswitch is found upstream of a number of genes which code for proteins involved in methionine or cysteine biosynthesis in Gram-positive bacteria. The record is from RNAcentral. Lineage: Bacteria; Pseudomonadati; Acidobacteriota.